GUACCAGCAGCCGCGGUAACACCGGCAGCCCAAGUGAUGGCCGAUAUUAUUGGGCCUAAAGCGUCCGUAGCUGGCUGCGCAAGUCCGUCGGGAAAUCCACUCGCCCAACGAGUGGGCGUCCGACGGAAACCGCACAGCUUGGGACCGGAAGGCUCGAAGGGUACGUUCGGGGUAGGAGUGAAAUCCCAUAAUCCCGCACGGACCACCGAUGGCGAAAGCACUUCGAGAAAACGGAUCCGACAGUGAGGGACGAAAGCCAGGGUCUCCAACCGGAUUAGAAACCCCAGUAGUCC
This 293-nucleotide ribosomal RNA is filed under the name uncultured bacterium. RNAcentral describes it as "partial 16S ribosomal RNA". It matches the Rfam family "Archaeal small subunit ribosomal RNA", at positions 455 to 747 of the family's 1478-position model. The record is from RNAcentral.